This is a long non-coding RNA of Tetranychus urticae (two-spotted spider mite), 1233 nucleotides long. RefSeq lists it as uncharacterized. Lineage: Eukaryota; Metazoa; Arthropoda; Arachnida; Trombidiformes; Tetranychidae. The record is from RefSeq and is a predicted model, not a curated record.
UGGAAAACAUUUUAAUAAUACAAAAACAACAACAAUUAUUACCAUAAUGAUUAUGAUUAGGAUGGUUAUUAUAAAUCUCCCAAUAAACAUCAAGUUGUUCAACAACAAUUUAAACAUUAACAUGAAACAUUCAUCUAAUAGUAAACCAUUAACUUGACCUAAAUAUUAUUUCAACUUAAAAUCUUUUCUAUUCAUUGGUUCACUACUAUUUGAGAUGUGAUUUACUGUAACCAAUCAUGAUGAUAAUGACCCAAAGAAAGGAAAGCAAGAAAAAAGGACGAAGAUGGACAAGUUGAAGAAGGAGAAAAAAAGAGCAAAGAAAGAAAAGAAGAAAAGGGAACAAGAAGAUAAAGAUGGACAAAAUAAGGAGCAAAAAGGAGGAUGACAAUGUUAGCGACAAUAAAAGAUGGAAGAGCAAAGUCGCCGUGCAGUCUGGCUAAGCAUCAUUUUCUUAAGACAAGUUUACUCAAGAAAAAGAAAGAAGACCAAGAAAAAGAGAUUCUUAAAGGUCUUUUUUCAAUACAUUCCAUGGCGAAAUGACAAUGAAACAUUCUUAGAGAGGUUGAAAUAUUUCUUUUCGCCUUUUCUUAGCCUUACCCGUGAGCCUGGACAUACACUCAACAAAACAAAUCACAAACAAUCAGAGAUUCUGUGAAAUGCGUUAAUGACGUUUACCUGACACACCUAAUAGGUAAAUAAAGUGAAAGAGAAAGAAAGAUGGACACACAAAAAAAAGGCAAACCGAAAGUGGACAUUAAAGUGGGCAAAGGUUAAAGACAAAUACGACGGAAAGAGUACAAGAAUGAGGAAAUAGCUGCAAGGUCUAGUGAAAAAAGGAGGAGGAGGAGGAGGAGGUGAUGAUAAAGAUAAUGAUUGAAGAAGAAGAAGAUGACCAGGAUGACCAUGAUGAUAAAAGUCGGCAAAGCAAGAGAAAGUUGUAGUCGUGUGGACUCUUUUUUUACCCUUCAUUUUGACACAGCAUAUAAUAUUUUUGCAGUUUUGUUUAAAAAAGGUUAUUGUUGGUGGUCCUUAGCUUGUUGUUUGUUGUGAUAAUUUCACUUUGAAACUGAUUUCUGUUUUUUUUUCUUGCUUCAACUUUUUUCUUUGGGUCAUUUUAUUGAAAUGGCUUUAUAACUUGUUAAUAACAAUGAAAUGCUAUUUAAAUUGCUAAUAAAAAAUGCCAGAAUAGCCAAUGUUUAACUUACCCAUUUCCAGCAAAAUAUUUAACAUAAU